Ornithodoros turicata is the source of this 1613-nucleotide long non-coding RNA. RefSeq lists it as uncharacterized. The transcript has 3 exons. Lineage: Eukaryota; Metazoa; Arthropoda; Arachnida; Ixodida; Argasidae. The record is from RefSeq and is a predicted model, not a curated record.
CCACUGUGUUAUGUAUUUUUGUGUGUGUGUGUGUGUGUGUGUGUGUGUGAAAAUGUGGACAGCUCGGUGCAAUUGUGUAUUUUAUUUAUGUGGUUGUGAUUUGCUGUAUGCUCGUAGUGGUAAUAUCUCAGUUAUCGCAUUUAUAUGGCUUUUUCUAAACAAUGUUAGGGUGAUGACUUCAUGGAAGUGGAAGGAACAGGAGAGGAAGACAUCUGGCAAUGGUCAUGACAGUUGUCCGUCAGGAAUCUAAGGGUGGUGAGCACGCGUAAGGAAUUGACAUAUCUCAAUACAACUUAGACCUGCCUGUUGCACAUGAGAUGUGUGACUCUACUUACACACACAAGCUUCUGCAGCAUUUUGGGAAAAAUAUAGUGAUGGCAAGAUUACCUGUGUUGUACUGCCAGACCAUCUGCUAUUGGAGUUCCAUGUCCCAGUUAUUAUAUAUAAUAGCUGUUUGAGGUUAUUACAUAUUUAUUAUGCAAGUUUUGUGCCUGUAAGUUCCUGUAAAUGUGCUCUGCGGUGAUCAUGCUGGACAGAGAGCUAUGCCUGUAUAAUAACAGUGACUAAUGUUCUCCUGCCCAUAAACCUAUUCCUAGGGUACAUCUGCACCCUUGGAAGUCACCGGAGAGGCAUGUUCGCUUAGCGCAAUUGGUAAGGGCCCUGGAUCGAUAAUACAGAAGAUGUGGGUUCAAGUCCUACUAGUGGCUAACCUUUCCAGUGACUGCCUUCUUUCAUCAUUCAUUUCUUAGGCACUUGAUGCUUUGUAUGUAUUUGCCUUUUCUAUGUGUUCCAGUCUCAGAACAUCAACUGUCAUGUUCAAAAGAACUGGAAUAUGCCUCUGCAAUCUGGAACCCAUCCCAACAUCUCUUAAUCGACAAUGUAGAAUUUGUACAGAACCGCACGGUUUGUUGCUCGUGAUUAUCAUCCUUUUUCCAGCGUCUCAGCCAUUAAAGCCAAACUCUUUCUUACUCCUUUGAUUACCAGAUGAAAGGUAUCAGGCCUGGCAUUCUUUCAUAAGUUAUAUUACAGUCACACUCCUCCCCACCCCACUUACUGUCAAUCCCCUCACAAGUUACUUCCAAGACUUGAUGACUCGCACAAAGUACUUGCUCCACCUACACAAACAAAAAAAUUCCUCUACUCUCCGCACCAGCUGAUGGUGUCAAACUGGAAUGACGUUCCUGCCCACAUAGCAUCAGAACAAAAUGUAUCGUCAUUUAUUUCCAAGUGCUAUGAUCGUUUUCAGAUCGAAUGAAUUUCUUUGUGGUGAGUGAACGAAUUUUGUGUACAUCAUUUUGGUAUUUGUCUUUUUUGGAUAAAAAACCUCCCGCAUUUAUGUAAAUCCCUUCACAAGGGUCUUUAAGUAAGCAAAUGAAAUGAAGAACUUCGUGAUACUUUCAUAAUUGGAGCAUUUUUAAUGCAUAUUUUAAAACAGUGGCUGCUAAAAAUGUGUCAGACACCGUCAGGCUGCCGUCUGUAUCAGGUGAAUCAUGAUUUUUUCCCAGAAGCCCAAUAAUGUAUAACGCUGCAUCACAUAUGCUAUUUUGGAGCAAUCUCUGCAGACAUAUUAUGAAGAUAUUAUCUGAGUGCCACAAUAAAGUAUAUGAACCGCA